Molecule: unclassified non-coding RNA, 245 nt
Filed under: plant metagenome
Description: partial contains small subunit ribosomal RNA, internal transcribed spacer 1, and 5.8S ribosomal RNA
Source: RNAcentral
UUUCCGUAGGUGAACCUGCGGAAGGAUCAUUAUUGAAUUUUUGAAGGAGUUGUUUGCUGGCCUUUCAUCGGGCAUGUGCACGCUCCGUUCAAAUCCAACCUUCUAUACACCUGUGCACCGUUUGUAGGGUCGCGUGGCCGAAAGGCCCGCGCUCUAUGUCUAUCACAAACUCUUUAGUAUGUUUUGAAUGUCGACGCGUGUAACGCAUCUUUAUACAACUUUCAGCAACGGAUCUCUUGGCUCUC